AGAGUUUGAUCAUGGCUCAGAACGUACGCUGGCGGCACGCCUAACACAUGCAAGUCGAACGAAGUAGCAAUACUUAGUGGCAAACGGGUGAGUAACAUGUGGGUAUCUGCCCUUCGGUCUGGAAUAACACGGGGAAACUUGUGCUAAUACCGGAUAAGUCUUUUAAGAGAAAGCUUUAUGCACCGAUGGAUGAGCCCGCACCUGAUUAGUUAGUUGGUAAGGUAAUGGCUUACCAAGACAAUGAUCAGUAGCUGAUUUGAGAGGAUGAUCAGCCACAUUGGGACUGAGACACGGCCCAAACUCCUACGGGAGGCAGCAGUGGGGAAUCUUGCACAAUGGGGGCAACCCUGAUGCAGCGAUGCCGCGUGAGUGAAGAAGGCCUUUGGGUUGUAAAGCUCUUUCGUCGGGGAAGAAAAUGACUGUACCCGAAUAAGAAGGUCCGGCUAACUUCGUGCCAGCAGCCGCGGUAAUACGAAGGGACCUAGCGUAGUUCGGAAUUACUGGGCUUAAAGAGUUCGUAGGUGGUUAAAAUAGUUGGUGGUGAAAUCCCAGAGCUUAACUCUGGAACUGCCAUCAAAACUUUUUAGCUAGAGUAUGAUAGAGGAAAGUAGAAUUUCUAGUGUAGAGGUGAAAUUCGUAGAUAUUAGAAAGAAUACCAAUUGCGAAGG
Molecule: ribosomal RNA, 668 nt
Filed under: uncultured bacterium
Lineage: Bacteria
Description: bacterial SSU rRNA
Rfam family: Bacterial small subunit ribosomal RNA
Source: RNAcentral